CUACCGCGGUCGCUGUUGGUGGCGCCGCCGGGCCUGCGACUAGGUGGCAUCCUUCAGACACUAUAGGCCGUCUCUGCACACGUGAUGCGGGGCUCGGUCACGUUGCCCCCUGGAAGCUUGAGGAUGCGCCAGGUUUGACUCUGCAGGGCGUACGCGCUUUAGGGAUGGAAGGAAGAGGAACGCGGCAGGAAGGCGAGCCCCAAGGUGGAGAAUCGCCUGGGCGCGCAGGCUGCGGCGGCUUCGCACAGCCGCCCUGGGCGCUGCACGGGUCCGCGCGCACCCUGCUGCGCACCCACUCGCGGCCAGCUCCCUACAGAGGAGUGGAGUGACUGCUCGACUACCACCCCUCUUUUAGUGUGAGCGUCUGGAGUCCUGACCGCCCCAGCCAGCCCAGCUACGAUGAACUGUCUAAGAGGAUGUGGCAAGACCCAGAAGUAUGGGUGACCUUAUGUCAGAGGAAGUGGCUUUCUUAUUGCAGCAAAAAUUCCCGUACCAAUGUCAGUGCUAGGGUAUGGAGUUUCACUGUGUCACCCAGGCUGGAGUGCAGUGGCACGAUCUCAGCUCAAUGCAACCUCUGUCUCCUGGGUUCAAGCAAAUCUCCUGCCUCAGCCUCUUGAGUAGCCUGAGUAGCUGGGACUAAAGGACACAGUGCGUAAGGUACCUCCUUGGAAGCAGAGACCAGGCCGUUUCCAGCCACCAAACCUGCUGGCACCUUGAUCUUGGAUUUCCCAGCCUCCAGAACUGUGAGAAAUAAAUUUUUUAUUGUUUACAAAUUACCCAGUCUCAGGUAUUUUGUUACAGUGGCAUAAACAGAUGAAGACACUCUCUAAUUAUAAAGGAAUUGCCAAGGAUAAUAUUAAAGGCAGACAUAGAAGAUAGGCAUAGUUUUGGUUCACUUUGCUUCCGUGUCUUUGUACAAAUUGUUACUUCUCCAUCACCGGUGGGAUGUUCUCCUUCCUACCCCAUAUGCUUCCACCAGUUCACAGCUACCAGUUUCUUCAAGACCUGGCUCAAAGCCUAGUCCUUCCUAGGGGACUUCUUUCCUGAGUCCAGACCACUGCAGUUGCCCCUUUAUCCAGUGGUCACAAGGCAUCCACACAGGCUGACAGUUGCUACCUGAUCAUCAUCACCAGUCAUCAAGCUGUUAUUGCAUACUUGGUAUAUGAAAGGCUCUAUGUCAUGUGCUGUGGGGGAGGGAGGGAGAGCUUUGCAGAGGAAGUGGGAUUCAAGCAGGGUCUUGAAGGCUGUGUUUUAAUUAAAGAGGUGGAAAAGAAGGGGAAUAAAAUAAUGGACAACAU
This 1298-nucleotide long non-coding RNA is filed under the name Homo sapiens (human). Its description in RNAcentral is "non-protein coding lnc-TNFSF4-3:4". Lineage: Eukaryota; Metazoa; Chordata; Mammalia; Primates; Hominidae. The record is from RNAcentral.